Molecule: unclassified non-coding RNA, 286 nt
Filed under: Hevea brasiliensis (rubber tree)
Lineage: Eukaryota; Viridiplantae; Streptophyta; Magnoliopsida; Malpighiales; Euphorbiaceae
Source: RNAcentral
GCAGAAUCCCUUUUGCAAAUUCUGGGAAUCCAGUGAUGUCCUUGGUUGCCUUUCUGGCUUCUGCUGUUGGACCAAGAGUUGCAGCAGCAUGUGCCCAUGCGUCCUUGGCAGCAUUGUCUGAGGAUAAUAGNNNNNNNNNNNNCUGAGAAAUUACAUGGUAGAGAAGGCAAUUUUCAGGGAGAAGUUGCAAAUCCAAUUCAACAAAAGGAAGACAACGUGCAUGGUUCACAGGUUCCAAAUGAGGCGGAGGGUGUUCUUUUAUCUGCAGAAAAAGUCAAAGCUGCUG